GACUGAUGUGGGCUGGACUGACGUGGGCUGCUGAGGGACAACGGGUGACGGGGAGGGUCGUGGUUGGGUCAGAGGGAUGGUGUAAUGAAUGUCUAAAGCUUGAGGCAGCGCUCUCAUGACCAGGGACUUGAAGUUUGUAAACUCGUUUCUCAAGUCACUGUAUUCUUCUUUCAAAUCACGAUUUUCCUGGUCACGUUGUUGUAGUAGCUGUGUCAAACACUUGAUGGCCUCGUCAGC
RNAcentral lists this long non-coding RNA (237 nucleotides) under Vigna radiata. Its description in RNAcentral is "long non-coding RNA (VRAD_LNC016073)". Lineage: Eukaryota; Viridiplantae; Streptophyta; Magnoliopsida; Fabales; Fabaceae. The record is from RNAcentral.